Balaenoptera acutorostrata (minke whale) is the source of this 588-nucleotide long non-coding RNA. RefSeq lists it as uncharacterized. The record is from RefSeq and is a predicted model, not a curated record. The transcript has 3 exons. Lineage: Eukaryota; Metazoa; Chordata; Mammalia; Artiodactyla; Balaenopteridae.
GCUGCUGCUCUCUUUCUCCCACCUAAUACCAGGCGAGUCCCUACGGUGGUUCUCUGGCGUCGUACUGUCUUUUUCUCCCCCUCCCGGCGGUAACGACCGGACAGACGUCUUUCUCUCUCCGCCCUUGGGGCCGGCUGGGGCGUUUACAGAGCUCCUGGCUGCACGCAAAACAGGUGCUUCCACCCCUUGCUCCAAAGCAAGGCGGGGUGGGCUGCGGCAGGAAGUGUGGAAGGGCAGGAGGAGCCGGAGAUGAGGGGCCUGGGAGAGGAUGCCUGACCCUGGGGAAGGACAUGUUCGGGGGAAAUGGCUUACAGUGCCCCAGGGCCUGCACUGGGUGUUGGGGACACAGCGGUGGCCACUACAGUCCCGGUUCCUGCCCUCGCAGAGCUCAGGGACCAACAGGAGACAGGCGGACCGCCAAGUGGAUGUCUGGUCUGGUUCCCGAUGGUCCUCCAGUCCCUGGCCCGCGUCCCUCUGGCAUCACGGAGAUCCUGCCCUAGAAUACCUGGAUCCGCCCCCAGUGAGCCUGCAUCAUUCCACACCUCCCCUACCCCCACCGCAGUCUCCCCGGGAUCAGUCCAGGACAAA